AACGAACGCUAGCGGCGCGUUUUAAGCAUGCAAGUCGAGCGGUAAGGCUCCCUUCGGGGAGUACACGAGCGGCAAACGGGUGAGUAACACGUAACUACCUACCUUACAGUGGGGGAUAGCCACGGGAAACUGUGGGUAAACCCGCAUACGCCCCUUAGGGGGGGAAAUCUCCGGAGCUGUAAGACGGGGUUGCGGCCCAUUAGCUUGAUGGCGGGGUAAUGGCCCACCAUGGCGAUUAUGGGUAGCCGGCCUGAGAGGGUGAACGGCCACAUUGGGACUGAGACACGGCCCAG
Molecule: ribosomal RNA, 293 nt
Filed under: uncultured bacterium
Lineage: Bacteria
Description: partial 16S ribosomal RNA
Rfam family: Bacterial small subunit ribosomal RNA
Source: RNAcentral